This 278-nucleotide ribosomal RNA is filed under the name uncultured bacterium. Its description in RNAcentral is "partial 16S ribosomal RNA". It matches the Rfam family "Bacterial small subunit ribosomal RNA", at positions 29 to 334 of the family's 1533-position model. The record is from RNAcentral.
AACGAACGCUGGCGGCAGGCCUAACACAUGCAAGUCGAGCGCGCCCUUCGGGGUGAGCGGCGGACGGGUGAGUAACGCGUGGGAACGUACCCUCUUCUGCGGGAUAGCCACUGGAAACGGUGAGUAAUACCGCAUACGCCCUUCGGGGGAAAGAUUUAUCGGGGGAGGAUCGGCCCGCGUUGGAUUAGGUAGUUGGUGGGGUAAUGGCCUACCAAGCCUACGAUCCAUAGCUGGUUUUAGAGGAUGAUCAGCCACACUGGGACUGAGACACGGCCCAG